This 433-nucleotide ribosomal RNA is filed under the name uncultured bacterium. RNAcentral describes it as "partial 16S ribosomal RNA". It matches the Rfam family "Bacterial small subunit ribosomal RNA", at positions 29 to 507 of the family's 1533-position model. The record is from RNAcentral.
AACGAACGCUGGCCGCAGGCCUAACACAUGCAAGUCGAGCGCACCCUUCGGGGUGAGCGGCGGACGGGUGAGUAACGCGUGGGAACGUGCCCUUUUCUACGGAAUAGCCUCGGGAAACUGAGAGUAAUACCGUAUACGCCCUUUGGGGGAAAGAUUUAUCGGAAAAGGAUCGGCCCGCGUUGGAUUAGGUAGUUGGUGGGGUAAUGGCCUACCAAGCCGACGAUCCAUAGCUGGUUUGAGAGGAUGAUCAGCCACACUGGGACUGAGACACGGCCCAGACUCCUACGGGAGGCAGCAGUGGGGAAUCUUAGACAAUGGGGGCAACCCUGAUCUAGCCAUGCCGCGUGAGUGAUGAAGGCCUUAGGGUUGUAAAGCUCUUUCAGCUGGGAAGAUAAUGACGGUACCAGCAGAAGAAGCCCCGGCUAACUCCGUG